CAGUUCGGAUUGUAGUCUGCAACCCGACUACAUGAAGCCGGAAUCGCUAGUAAUCGCGGAUCAGAAUGCCGCGGUGAAUACGUUCCCGGGUCUUGUACACACCGCCCGUCACACCAUGGGAGUCGGAAAUGCCCGAAGUCUGUGACCCAACCGCAAGGAGGGAGCAGCCGAAGGCAGGUCGGAUGACUGGGGUGAAGUCGUAACAAGGUACC
RNAcentral lists this ribosomal RNA (212 nucleotides) under uncultured bacterium. RNAcentral's name for it is "partial 16S ribosomal RNA". It matches the Rfam family "Bacterial small subunit ribosomal RNA", at positions 1289 to 1500 of the family's 1533-position model. The record is from RNAcentral.